UGGCUCAGAAGCAGCCACCAUUAAAAGAGUGCGUAAUAGCUCACUGGUCGAGAGGACCUGCGCCGAAGAUAUCCGGGGCUCAAGCACAGAACCGAAGCCGCGGCAAGGUGUUAGACACCUUGGGUAGGGGAGCGUACCAUACGCAACGAAGGCUGACUGGAAAGACAACUGGAGCGUAUGGCAGUGAGAAUGCCGGUAUGAGUAGCGAAAAGGACGGUGAGAAUCCGUCCCACCGAAAGCCUAAGGUUUCCUGAGCAACGAUCGUCGGCUCAGGGUAAGUCGGGACCUAAGCCGAGGCAAAGAGCGUAGGCGAAGGACAACUGGCAAAAAAUCCAGUACCACUCUAAGUUGUUUGAGGAUGGAGUGACACAGGAGGGAACUUGAGCGCGCGAAUGGAAGAGCGCGUCGAACGCGGUAGGCUGGCAAAGAGGCAAAUCCCUUUGCUAAGGCCGAGAGCGGAUAGGGAAGUAAGCGAAAGCGAACGGAACUCAAGGGAACCACACUGUCGAGAAAAGCUUCUAACGAGACGAAGAGUGCCCGUACCGCAAACCGACACAGGUAGGCGGGGAGAGAAUCCUAAGGUGCGCGGGAAAACCCUCGUUAAGGAACUCGGCAAAAUGUAUCCGUAACUUCGGGAAAAGGAUAGCCGGAGCUAGUGAACUCUCAAGCAGAGGGAGCGAGAGCCGGUGGCACAAGAGAGGCCCAGGCGACUGUUUAGCACAAACACAGGUACUUGCGAAAGAGAAAUCUGAAGUAUAAGCGCUGACGCCUGCCCGGUGCUGGAAGGUUAAGGAAAGAGGUCAAGAGCAAUCUGAAGCUUCGAACUGAAGCCCCAGUGAACGGCGGCCGUAACUAUAACGGUCCUAAGGUAGCGAAAUUCCUUGUCGGGUAAGUUCCGACCCGCAUGAAAGGCGUAACGACCUGGGCACUGUCUCAACGAGGGACCCGGUGAAAUUGAAAUACCUGUGAAGAUGCAGGUUACCCGCGACUGGACAGAAAGACCCCAUGGAGCUUUACUGCAGCCUGGCAUUGAUUUUUGGGAAAGGAUGUACAGGAUAGGUGGGAGACUGGGAAAGUGAGACGCAAGUCACACUGGAGUCAAUGUUGGGAUACCACCCUUCCUUUUCUAAGGACCUAACCGAAGGGGUAACGACCCUCGAGACAGUGCCAGGGGGACAGUUUGACUGGGGCGGUCGCCUCCGAAAGAGCAACGGAGGCGUCCCAAGGUUCCCUCAGCGCGGCCGGAAAUCGCGCGAAGAGUAUAAAGGCAGAAGGGAGCUUGACUGCGAGACGGACAGGUCGAGCAGGUGCGAAAGCAGGGCUUAGUGAUCCGGUGGAAAGAAAGUGGAAUUGCCAUCGCUCAACGGAUAAAAGCUACCCUGGGGAUAACAGGCUAAU
This 1398-nucleotide ribosomal RNA is filed under the name human oral metagenome. Its description in RNAcentral is "bacterial LSU rRNA". It matches the Rfam family "Bacterial large subunit ribosomal RNA", at positions 1102 to 2486 of the family's 2925-position model. The record is from RNAcentral.